UCUCCNUAGGUGAACCUGCGGAGGGAUCAUUACUGAGUGAGGGCUCACGCCCGACCUCCAACCCUUUGUGAACCAAACUUGUUGCUUCGGGGGCGACCCUGCCGUCCGCGGCUGAGCGCCCCCGGGGUCAAUCAAACACUGCAUUCUCUGCGUCGGAGUUAAAGUAAAUUAAACAAAACUUUCAACAACGGAUCUCUUGGUUCCAGAAUCGAUGAAGAACGNAGC
Molecule: unclassified non-coding RNA, 225 nt
Filed under: uncultured fungus
Lineage: Eukaryota; Fungi
Description: sequence contains ITS1, 5.8S rRNA gene
Rfam family: 5.8S ribosomal RNA (bases 177-225)
Source: RNAcentral